GAUGAACGCUGACAGAAUGCUUAACACAUGCAAGUCGAUGGGGAAGUGGUGCUUGCACCAUGGCAACCAUGGCGGACGGGUGAGUAACGCGUAAGGGACUUACCUGCAGGGCUGGGAUAACAGGGGGAAACUCCUGACAAGACCGGAUAAUGUCAUGGAGCUGCAUGGCUUUAUGAUGAAAGGAGACGCCUGCGGAGAGCCUUGCGUCCUAUUAGCUAGUUGGUGAGGUAAUGGCUCACCAAGGCGAAGAUAGGUAGCCGGCCUGAGAGGGUGGACGGCCACAAGGGGACUGAGAUACGGCCCUUACUCCUACGGGAGGCAGCAGUGGGGAAUAUUGGACAAUGGGGGCAACCCUGAUCCAGCAAUUCUGUGUGCACGAAGAAGGUUUUCGGAUUGUAAAGUGCUUUCAGCAGGGAAGAAGUAAGUGACGGUACCUGCAGAAGAAGCGACGGCUAAAUACGUG
This 463-nucleotide ribosomal RNA is filed under the name uncultured bacterium. RNAcentral's name for it is "partial 16S ribosomal RNA". It matches the Rfam family "Bacterial small subunit ribosomal RNA", at positions 28 to 507 of the family's 1533-position model. The record is from RNAcentral.